UAGGGAAUCUUCCGCAAUGGGCGAAAGCCUGACGGAGCAACGCCGCGUGAGUGAAGAAGGAUUUCGGUUCGUAAAGCUCUGUUGUUAGGGAAGAAUGAUUGUGUAGUAACUAUACACAGUAGAGACGGUACCUAACCCAAAAAGCCACGGCUAACUACGUGCCAGCAGCCGCGGUAAUACGUAGGUGGCAAGCGCGUUGUCCGGAAUUAUUGGGCGUAAAGCGCGCGCAGGUGGUUUAAUAAGUCUGAUGUGAAAGCCCACGGCUCAACCGUGGAGGGUCAUUGGAAACUGUUAAACUUGAGUGCAGGAGAGAAAAGUGGAAUUCCUAGUGUAGCGGUGAAAUGCGUAGAGAUUAGGAGGAACACCAGUGGCGAAGGCGGCUUUUUGGCCUGUAACUGACACUGAGGCGCGAAAGCGUGGGGAGCAAACAGGAUUAGAUACCCUGGUAGUCCACGCCGUAAACGAUGAGUGCUAAGUGUUGGUCUCAUAAGAGAUCAGUGCUGCAGCUAACGCAUUAAGCACUCCGCCUGGGGAGUACGACCGCAAGGUUG
RNAcentral lists this ribosomal RNA (551 nucleotides) under uncultured bacterium. RNAcentral describes it as "bacterial SSU rRNA". It matches the Rfam family "Bacterial small subunit ribosomal RNA", at positions 355 to 896 of the family's 1533-position model. The record is from RNAcentral.